RNAcentral lists this ribosomal RNA (251 nucleotides) under uncultured prokaryote. RNAcentral describes it as "partial 16S rRNA". It matches the Rfam family "Bacterial small subunit ribosomal RNA", at positions 525 to 775 of the family's 1533-position model. The record is from RNAcentral.
ACGGAGGAUCCAAGCGUUAUCCGGAUUUAUUGGGUUUAAAGGGUGCGCAGGCGGAUCAAUAAGUCAGGGGUGAAAAAUUUCAGCUUAACUGGAAUCGUGCCGUUGAUACUGUUAGACUGGAGUAUAAUUGACGUGGGUGGAAUGUGUGGUGUAGCGGUGAAAUGAUUAGAUAUCACACAGAAUAUCGAUUGCGAAGGCAGCUCACAAAGCCAUUAUUGACGCUGAUGCACGAAAGUGUGGGGAUCAAACAG